RNAcentral lists this ribosomal RNA (223 nucleotides) under uncultured bacterium. Its description in RNAcentral is "partial 16S ribosomal RNA". It matches the Rfam family "Bacterial small subunit ribosomal RNA", at positions 328 to 539 of the family's 1533-position model. The record is from RNAcentral.
ACGCUCGACACCUACAGGAGGCAGCAGUAGGGAAUCUUCCACAAUGGACGCAAGUCUGAUGGAGCAACGCCGCGUGAGUGAAGAAGGUUUUCGGAUCGUAAAGCUCUGUUGUUGGUGAAGAAGGAUAGAGGUAGUAACUGGCCUUUAUUUGACGGUAAUCAACCAGAAAGUCACGGCUAACUACGUGCCGGCAGCCGCGGUAAUCUGAGCGGGCUGGCAAGGC